GAUGAAGUCUGUGUUUACUUUUUGACUCUCAACAUACUCGUUUCGUUUUGAUGCGAAGGUCACUGGAAGUUCCCUCUGAGAGAAAGAGAGAGACUGCAUUUAUGUAUGUAAAAUAGAGAGAUAAGAGAAAGAGAGGGAACAUGGACUUGAGAUCUUCUUCAUUCCUCAGAUACUCUUCUAGAGUCCGGUUCCUCGGCCGCACUUCUCUGCGGCUCUCCAAAACAUCGUUUUGGAUUUUUUUUUCUUCCCUUUCUUAUUUUGCUUUUCCCUUUUCAUUUUUGAACCCUAGCCUCUGAAACAGAUUAAGAGAGAGGCGACAAAGGCGAGGCAAGGAGAGGCAGUGAGAGACUAACAGGGAGAGGCGGCGAGAGAGGAACAGAAAGGGCGACGAACGCAAGGCGGCGACGAGGUUCUCAGGCACUCUCUUCCUUCCAAGAUCUUCCAGCCACCUUCCGAGUUGUCUCUCUCCAAAGCAUCCAAGUGGAUUUUUCACUUCGAUCUCAAAAAUGCCUCUUCUGUCUCCCUUGAAGCUUUGAACCCUCUUUGGGCUUACGUUCUCUUCCUUAGGUCACUUUUGGCCCCGAAAGUGCCACUUUGAUGGUUGGACUGGCAGCCUCCAAACUAGAGCUGCACAAUUAGUUGAGCAGGUAAGCAAGUAAUUGAGCAGCCUUGGAGGAGCACAAAUGUUUUCGAGGCUUCAAGGAAUAGCACUGACCGGAGAAAGAAACCAAGGCACAACACCGAUAGGCCAAAAAAAAUGAAGACACUGCAUCCAAAGGAGAUGAAGUUGACACUUGAGAUCACUUUUGGGGGUGCUUGUAUUUGUAUGGGGUCUUAUGUAGUUUUUAUUUGUACGAAACAACCUUCUAUCUUUCUUUCUUUGUAUUUGUACGGGGUCUCAUGUACUUGUAUUUGUAUAGUAUUAAUUUUUAUA
Molecule: non-coding RNA, 934 nt
Organism: Camellia sinensis
Lineage: Eukaryota; Viridiplantae; Streptophyta; Magnoliopsida; Ericales; Theaceae
Source: RefSeq, a predicted model, not a curated record